RNAcentral lists this long non-coding RNA (1244 nucleotides) under Scleropages formosus (Asian bonytongue). RNAcentral's name for it is "lncRNA (ENSSFOG00015024457.1)". The record is from RNAcentral. Lineage: Eukaryota; Metazoa; Chordata; Actinopteri; Osteoglossiformes; Osteoglossidae.
GGUUUCUGAAUGGAAGUUGCGUGGAUAUAAUACGGUUUGACUGACCAGAUAGCAGGUUUGUAAGCUUUUUGGCAAUGGAGUUCCUGACCAUGAAACCAACGCCAGAUAGACGUUUUUCUGCUUCCGGUUUUCCUGACCAGUAUAAGGUGUAACCUACAGCAUGUUCUUGUAGAUUACUUUCCUCAGGGAGGCAGACUUUACUGAGAGCAGCUAUGUUUACAUCCAGCCUGGCAAGUUCGAGUGCAACUAAGGCUGAGCAACGUUUGGGAUGAUUGCUGUCUUUUGAGUCAACAUAAUUCUGAUAUUCCAGCAAGCAAGCUUGAGUCCCUUUCCACCUCUGGGUGAGUUAUGAUUCCUCAUUGUGUUUUGACCACAGUUUAAGAUGCUUGUUAGCUGCGGUAAGCCAACUAGGUGUUUGGGAGAUGAGCUUUGUUUGGAGCACAUUUUCUAGGUUCAUCUCCAUGUGGAGCAAGUGGCCCUGUCCCUAAAAAGGGCUGCUUGGUCAUCUCCAGGUCAACAUCAGAUGACUCAAACACCCGAGUCACCUGCAUGCAGGAUUGAGACUGCUUCAUCCGCCGUUUUCGCCUCUUUCCUAUGUUGUCUCGGAUGUGGCGCUUGGAGCCAGCACGUGAGAGAUUUAGGAGAUGGAUGGGGACCAGAGUUUCAGGCCAUCCUACUGGUAGGAUGCAGCUGUGAAAUAGCAAAGGGUUGCUAGGGGUCAGAACCUAACCCAGAAACACAGGGCAUAAGGCUGGAGGAGGAGGGGACACACCCAGGACAGGAUGCCAGUCCAUCAUGAGGUACCCCAAGCGGGACUUGAACCCCAGACCCACUAGAGAGCAGGACCAGGUCCAACCCACUGUGCCACCACACCUCUCUACCAAUAUCUUACAUUUACAAAUAUUCUUUUAGCUGAUGCCUUCUCCAGAGCAACUUAAACUAUUAAGUUAAUUACUCAUUUACACAGCUGGGUAAUUUUCACUGGAGCAAUUUACAGAAAGCACCUUACUCAAGGACAGUACAGACAGAAGUGAGAGUUGAACUUGCAACCUUUAGGAACAAUGGCAGCAUUGCUAACCACUACACUACCAGCUACCCCGUUAUGUAAGCAUUUCUGGUAAAAUCUGGUUUAUUUAAGACAGAAACGUACAGUAUUAAAAAGGUACCUCAGUUUAAUUAGUGGGUAAUUUUUGGAAGUAGCAAUAAUGAAUAAAGUGCAGACUGUAAUUGCUCUAUAAGCUCGU